Molecule: small nucleolar RNA, 93 nt
Organism: Hippopotamus amphibius kiboko
Lineage: Eukaryota; Metazoa; Chordata; Mammalia; Artiodactyla; Hippopotamidae
Product: small nucleolar RNA SNORA17
Exons: 1
Source: RefSeq, a predicted model, not a curated record
CCUGUGAGCACCAUGGGCACAGGGAGGGAGCAGCUAUUUCUACACUCAGUGCUCUGAACAGUGGGUGCUAAGAAUGGUUUGUCGCUGGACAUU